Molecule: ribosomal RNA, 435 nt
Filed under: uncultured Oscillospiraceae bacterium
Lineage: Bacteria; Bacillati; Bacillota; Clostridia; Eubacteriales; Oscillospiraceae
Description: bacterial SSU rRNA
Rfam family: Bacterial small subunit ribosomal RNA
Source: RNAcentral
ACGGGAGGCAGCAGUCGGGAAUAUUGCACAAUGGGGGAAACCCUGAUGCAGUGACGCCGCGUAUAGGAAGAAGGUUUUCGGAUUGUAAACUAUUGUCUAUAGGGAAGAAAAAUGACGGUACCUAUGGAGGAAGGUCCGGCUAACUACGUGCCAGCAGCCGCGGUAAUACGUAGGGACCGAGCGUUGUCCGGAUUUAUUGGGUGUAAAGGGUGCGUAGACGGGUACUUAAGUUGGUUGUGAAAUCCCCAGGCUCAACUUGGGAACUGCAACCAAAACUGAGUAUCUUGAGUGCAGGAGAGGAAAGUGGAAUUCCUAGUGUAGCGGUGAAAUGCGUAGAGAUUAGGAGGAACACCAGUGGCGAAGGCGACUUUCUGGACUGUAACUGACGUUGAGGCACGAAAGUGUGGGGAGCAAACAGGAUUAGAUACCCUGGUA